GAAGAUCAAUAACAUCAAUAAUAUUAAAGCUGGAGGCGCUCAAGCUGUGCUUGACUCAGUUUACAUGUGUGGAUGUGUUCUGGCUCGUGGAAAGUUUAGUGAAGCAAAGUUACAAGUUACGAGGGACCAAAAUUCACCUCAAUUACCAUAGUUACCGUGGCCACGCCCCUUUGAAUCUGCGAGACCUUUGGAUACAUUUUCAUCCUUGAUGAGUCCAGCACAAACUGACCCGGGUUCUGUGUGCGGAUGAUUAACGAACAUUCUAAAUGCUGACUUGAGUUUUACUGUUCAUGGGAUCAUUUUGUGACGCAAUGACAACUUCGGGAGCUGAAAAUCGCCACCUUGUGUCCGGCUCCGUCUAUUGUUGUGAAACCGAACAAGACGACGGUUUCUUCUCUGCAGUUACUUCUGUUGUGUCCAGCGCUCCCAUCGCGCCACAAAAUGUACAAAAUCAUCAAGACGAUGGACGAGGAGCGACGUUGAGUCACCGCAUUAGACACAUCCCCUCACUCUCCACUUUGAAGACACAUCUUGAAACCAAAUUUUUACUCUUUGACCUUCGACCCAGUAUGAUAAUAUUGUUUAUUUGUGUAUUUACACUUUCAACAGUGCUUUUAUUGUGUGUGUUUAGGUCUGUAAGACAGUGAGGCCACACCCUGGAGACAAUAGGAGGUUUUCCCCAGACCAAACGUCAUCCCUCUAUGUAUAUUCUGCCCUGUGAUUAUCUGUAAAUUAAUUAACCACCUAGUUUCAAACGUCAACAGUUGGGGACCGUCUCCCACCACUCUGAAGUGUAAACACCAUCUCUCAUUUGAAGUGUGUAGGUCUGAUGGUCUCAGUGCAGGAAGUAGACAGGUCAAGGAGGCUCAGUUGUCGUGUGAAUGGUGGUCAAAAAAGUCCUCAGACGUGUAAAUGUCAAUGUAUGUGUGGAUGAGAAGUGUCUCCGUGCUGGUUGGGACAGUUGGUCUGCUUAUCAGAAGCUCCCACAUAUCAGCUGCGUGUCACAUGACUUAUAAACCUGAUACCACUGAAGCCAGACCCGGAUCAUCGUGUGCGUGGGACUGACCGGAUUUUGGCAGAGGAUAUUUGGAGCUGUAAUAUUGCUCGAAGAACUUCAGGAUGGUUCCGGUUUUGUUGAGUGCGUAGUCUCCUUGUCCGGCAUCGAUAGCAGGCUUGCGGGCGAAGAUUCGGAUC
Solea solea (common sole) is the source of this 1194-nucleotide long non-coding RNA. RefSeq lists it as uncharacterized. Lineage: Eukaryota; Metazoa; Chordata; Actinopteri; Pleuronectiformes; Soleidae. The transcript has 2 exons. The record is from RefSeq and is a predicted model, not a curated record.